UACAGAAGGUGCGAGCGUUAUUCAUAGUUAUUGGGCGUAAAGGGUAUGUAGGUGGAAUAUGAAAAUUUUGCUGUAAAGACUGGAGUCGUAACUUCAGAAGCAAGCUUUUAGAUUACUAUUCUUGAGUUAAUAUCGGGUCGGAGGAACUUCCAGCGUAAGGGUAGAAUCUAACGAUUCUGGAAGGAACACCAAAGGCAAAGGCAUCCCUCUAGAGUUAACUGACACUGAGGUACGGAAGCGUAGGGAGCAAACAGG
Molecule: ribosomal RNA, 255 nt
Filed under: uncultured bacterium
Lineage: Bacteria
Description: partial 16S ribosomal RNA
Rfam family: Bacterial small subunit ribosomal RNA
Source: RNAcentral